Molecule: long non-coding RNA, 240 nt
Filed under: Lathyrus oleraceus (garden pea)
Lineage: Eukaryota; Viridiplantae; Streptophyta; Magnoliopsida; Fabales; Fabaceae
Description: Pisum sativum (pea) long non-coding RNA (PSAT_LNC006218)
Source: RNAcentral
AAAAGUUUGCUGAUGAUUGUUGUUGUUGUUGUAGUUGGUUCUUUGUUGCGGUUGUUACUGAUGUUGUUGUUAAAUUGGAACUGAUUGAUCGGUUGAAUUGUUGGAAAAAAAUUGGAAUCACUAAAGAUACCUGGUGUUGAUGUUGACGGGAUUUAGAAUUUUACCUCAUAUGAGGCCUCUUCUUCCUCCCUACUGACACUGCAUUAGUUUCUCCUUCCUUCUUCUUAGAAAAACUCCCAC